Molecule: long non-coding RNA, 353 nt
Filed under: Sorghum bicolor (sorghum)
Lineage: Eukaryota; Viridiplantae; Streptophyta; Magnoliopsida; Poales; Poaceae
Description: long non-coding RNA (SBIC_LNC003526)
Source: RNAcentral
GCUUCUAAACUUAUAAAAGGAUAUAGACAUACAUAAUUUAUGUUCACGUUUUCCAUUACAAUUUGAUAACUUAUUUUCUCAUGUUGCAACACACGAUAUAUUUGCUAGUAAUUACUAAAAAUAAUUAUCUCAAAUAAAUCUGAUUAAUUAUUUUUUAGGUUUUUAAAGUUAUAAUUAGUUAAUUAACUUAUAUAUAGGAAAAGAAAAAAAAAGAAAUAUGGUCAAAUCCCAGCCGUCACUACCACGGGAGACCUACGAGCGUCGUGACCCCUUCCUUUGUACAAUCUUCUUCGUGCUUCUAACCAAGGAUACUACCCUAAUUCUUCACAUCACUAUUGAUUCAACAACCCCCA